CUACGGGGGGCUGCAGUGGGGAAUAUUGGACAAUGGGGGAAACCCUGAUCCAGCAAUGCCGCGUGUGUGAAGAAGGCCUGCGGGUUGUAAAGCACUUUCGGUUGGGAGGACUGCUUCUAGCACUAAUAUUGUUGGAAGUUGAUGUUACCUUCAGAAGAAGCACCGGCUAACUCCGUGCCAGCAGCCGCGGUAAUACGGAGGGUGCGAGCGUUAAUCGGAAUUACUGGGCGUAAAGCGCGCGUAGGCGGCUAGAUCAGUCGGGUGUGAAAGCCCCGGGCUUAACCUGGGAACUGCAUCCGAUACUGUCUAGCUUGAGUACAGGAGAGGAGAGUGGAAUUCCACAUGUAGCGGUGAAAUGCGUAGAUAUGUGGAGGAACACCAAUGGCGAAGGCAGCUCUCUGGCCUGAUACUGACGCUGAGGUGCGAAAGCGUGGGGAGCAAACAGGAUUAGAUACCCGUGUAGUC
This 465-nucleotide ribosomal RNA is filed under the name uncultured bacterium. RNAcentral describes it as "partial 16S ribosomal RNA". It matches the Rfam family "Bacterial small subunit ribosomal RNA", at positions 339 to 795 of the family's 1533-position model. The record is from RNAcentral.